RNAcentral lists this ribosomal RNA (253 nucleotides) under uncultured bacterium. Its description in RNAcentral is "partial 16S ribosomal RNA". It matches the Rfam family "Bacterial small subunit ribosomal RNA", at positions 524 to 776 of the family's 1533-position model. The record is from RNAcentral.
GACGAACCGUCUGAACGUUAUUCGGAAUCACUGGGCAUAAAGGGCGCGUAGGCGGACUGCCAAGUCAAGGGUGAAAUCCUCCGACUCAAUCGGAGAACUGCCUUUGAUACUGGUGGUCUCGAGGGAGGUAGGGGCGUGUGGAACUAAGGGUGGAGCGGUGAAAUGCGUUGAUAUCCUUAGGAACUCCGGUGGCGAAGGCGACACGCUGGACCUUUGCUGACGCUGAGGCGCGAAAGCCAGGGGAGCAAACGGG